This 249-nucleotide ribosomal RNA is filed under the name uncultured bacterium. Its description in RNAcentral is "partial 16S ribosomal RNA". It matches the Rfam family "Bacterial small subunit ribosomal RNA", at positions 524 to 776 of the family's 1533-position model. The record is from RNAcentral.
UACGUAGGGUGCGAGCGCUGUCCGGAAUUAUUGGGCGUAAGAGCUCGUAGGCGGUCUGUCGCGUCGAAUGUGAAACCCGGGGCUUAACCCUGGGCUUCAGUGGAUACGGGCAGACUAGAGGCAGGUAGGGGAGAUGGAAUUCCUGGUGUAGCGGUGAAAUGCGUAGAUAUCAGGAGGAACACCUGUGGUGUAGACAGCUUACUGGACCAUUUCUGACGCUGAGACACGAAAGCGUGGGUAGCAAACAGG